Long non-coding RNA from Drosophila busckii, 868 nucleotides. RefSeq lists it as uncharacterized. The record is from RefSeq and is a predicted model, not a curated record. The transcript has 3 exons. Lineage: Eukaryota; Metazoa; Arthropoda; Insecta; Diptera; Drosophilidae.
AUAUUAAUAUAUAAUAACAUACAUUAAUAAGCAUGUAGCCACUAAAUAAUAAAGCUGUCUACACACACACAGACAUAGAGACGCAGCUCAAGAGUCAUAGCCAAUGAAGCAAACUUGAAAGCUGUGCAUUUCCUAGAAAAAUUGAACCAGCGGCAAACAGCCGAGGUAAAGAAAAUAUGACGGCGACUGCGGCGUCGCUUGCAAACAGUCGAUAGCCAGGGCAAACAUGGCCAGCUCGCCGGCCGGAGACCGGCACACGGACAACUGGGCUAAGCUGAGUUAAGGUUGGGCCAAUGGGGGUUGGGCCAUGCCCAUGUCGAACAAACACAGCCGAAACGCAGCCCAACUCAACGCCAUGUAUGCAAAUGAGUCUGAGCAAAUAGACAAGCGUUUGCUGCUGCUGUUGCUGUUGCUGGUGCUAGCUAGGGGCAUGUCCAGGGCCACGAUAAGGCGAGCAACGAAGGACUUGCAACACAAACUUGCAACUGCAACAGCAACCGUAAAACUUGAACGCUGCGCAUUUGCUUUGGUUUUUCCCGACGGCAGCUAAUGGCCCAAAUACGGCAGAGUACAAAGGCUGAGCGCGCAGGUAAUGCCAGGACGAGCGUCCUGCGUUGUGUUUACAAAACGCAGCCUAAUUGAGGCGGGGAAAUUCGCUUAGGCCGGCCAUAAAAUUGAAUUGUUUGCAAACACAAGCAGAAAGUAUGGGCCAUAAAAGUGCACAAUACCCCGGCUACAAUACGGUGUGGUAAAUAUUUAGGGCAAGGUCGGUCCAGGACAGCCACGAGACCUAACCCAUUUAUAUGCAAUAUUCAAUUUUCCAAUGAAAUACAGCAACAGUUUCUUAAUGAAAACGCGACGGCCGCGU